UAAUUUGCCGACUUCCCUUACCUACAUUAAUCUAUCGACCAGRGCUUCUUACCUCGGAGACCGGCUGCGGAUAUGGGUACGCACUGGCCCGAAAGUAGGCGUCGCGGACUUUGGGGAGUCCGCUUGACCUCAGUUACCGCCCUCGCAUGUUUCACGGGCCGGCGGUGGCGCUCGGGACGCCGCAAGAACCGCGGCGCUCUACGGCUAACCGUGUUACAAACACCCUUUCUCUCUGCGAAUGGCUUCCAGGGUCACGGCGCCUUAAACAGAAAAGAAAACUCUUUCCCGGACCACCGCCGACGGACGCGAGCUGGUUCCCGUUACCGGGCUCCUGCACAGAGCAGCAUUCCCCUGCCCGGGGGGCAAGGGCGCUUACAACUGUUAGGCAUCCGGGUCCUGGUUACGGAAUAAUGACCGUAU
RNAcentral lists this ribosomal RNA (420 nucleotides) under Palinustus waguensis. RNAcentral describes it as "partial 28S ribosomal RNA". Lineage: Eukaryota; Metazoa; Arthropoda; Malacostraca; Decapoda; Palinuridae. The record is from RNAcentral.